This 7458-nucleotide long non-coding RNA is filed under the name Prunus persica (peach). RNAcentral describes it as "long non-coding RNA (PPER_LNC008399)". The record is from RNAcentral. Lineage: Eukaryota; Viridiplantae; Streptophyta; Magnoliopsida; Rosales; Rosaceae.
AGAGAAUGAGAUAAUAUUUCGGUUAGAUUUUACGAAAAUGAAAUUAUAUUAUUCUUUUCUUUUUUUUGUAUUUAUUAUUCAUUCUCUUGUAACCUUUCACAAUAUCAUGUCAAGUGCUAGCUAGUCACAUAAAGGAAUGUUGUGAGUGUGGGAAAGUAUUUGUAUACACCCAUUACAUUUUAUUUUUCUAAUUUCACAAAAGAAAAAAAACACAAGACUUCUCAACAAGCCUCAUGUAGGUGUGCGUGUGCGCACGCAAGCAUACAUACAUUGUCUAGUAGGGGCGCUCGUCCUCGGGCUGGUACAUGGGAUCGUAGCUGCAAACCACAUAGUUCUGUCCAUUGUUGCACUUUGAAAUGCCACAUCCAACCUCGGUGGUUUUGCCCCAUACCACAGCAAGGUAGUGACCACAUUCGUCUUUGACGCAUUUGUUGGACUUUUCGUCAUAGAACUCCUUCUCGGUGACCCAAUACUUGGUGGCAGCUGCGCCGCUCAUGCCGUCACCAGAGGCCAAGUUCUCACCCCAACGCCCCAUCGAGUGCUCCAUGGCGCAGUCGCCAACUCUUUUAUCCGCAUAUUCUUGGGCAUACUGGGCCAAGGUCGUGUUCCAAUUGAGGGGUUUGUUGCCGACCUCUUUACGAGCCUUGUUGUGCUCCUCGACGAAGCCAUCGAUCUCUUCUUUAGAAAUGUUUGCAAAGACAAGAGUGAAGACCAAUGCGACGCAGCAAAUGGCCAAAAGAAGCUUCGUGUUGAACGCCAUUUUUGUUUUUUGAUAUGAGAAGUUUAAGGUCUUUUCUUUGUAGUAGAGAAGGUUGGAUUGUUAGAUGUUGAUUGAAAGGGGGCAUGGGAUUGUGCAUAUUUAUAGAGACACAGGCAAGUUUGUGUCCGCAAAGAGGGUCUUCGAAAAUAGGCCCUUAAAAAUGGGAGGGCUGAAUAUUAGUUUUUUGGAUUCUAUAGAUUGCUGUAGAGGCGGGGCCAAAUAAAGAAAAGAAAGAAGAGAUCCAUAGAAAUUUGUGGUGUCACAUCUUUUGUGCUUGGAAUGCGUCCACACCAAGUUUUACUCACAAUAAGGAGGGAAGACAAUUUCUUUGGUGAGUUUCCUUUUUUUUUUCCCCUUAAAAAAGUAAGUUCUUCUUUUCUGUUCUUCUUUUCUGUUCUUCUUUUCUUUUCUUCUUUCAGGUGAACUAUUUUUUUUUUUUUUUCUUGUUCUUUUUCUAAAGGAUAAGAUGGAAACAAGAAGUAACGAGGUAGAACAUUAUUGGGUGUCUUGAGUAAUAUGUCUUUUGUUUUUCCUUCAGUUGUGUCUGUUUUUCCUCAUGACUUAGUUGGCCUCCUUUCUCCUAUGCGUCUAUAUGCUAUUGUUUAAACCUGUCUUCUGGUCCUAAUCCCCUUUGUUCACUAAAAUAACUGAUAAGGAAAAUCACCAUACUCUAGUUUUUGGUGUCACACGUUUCAAAUUUAGCCAUAUUCUUUUUUAUAAGAAUUCACUCUUUUUUUUCUUUUCUUUUUUUCUAAUGAACAAUCUCAUGUUAUAAUGUGCGUUUAUUUAUUAAUAUUAUAUCAUCGGAUGCAAUGGAUUUUUAACUCAAAUAGUUAAGAGGUCCUAAGUUCGAUUCCACCCUCCCUCAAUAUGACUUGUAUAAAAAAUAAAAAUAAAAAUUAUAUCAUCAGAUAUAAAUUUGUUGUCCACUUACAUCAAUUUCUAAUGUUACAGUGACCAAAAAAAAAAAACUUUCUUCAAUUUUUUAUUAUCUUAAUGGUUUUUUGAGUUACUUGUGUCUCUACUAGUGAACUGUUACUUUUUUUUCUUUUUCUUUUUUAUAGAAAUAUUGGCUCCAAAAUCUCUGCCCUCGUCAAAGCUAUUGCACAUCUUCAGUUUUGGCGACCAAUCUAUUUCGUCGCCCAUUCUGAAAAUAACCAAACCAGCUAACAUAUGCGACAAAUAAACUACAUCUUUCACGACCAUAACAUUCAUCGCUGAAAUGUUCAGGCGACCAAACAUUUAUUUCGUCGCCAAAUAAUUUCAUGUUUGCGGGAAUUUUUGGUAUUUUGGCAGCAACUCACUCUCAAUGGCAACCAACUUGGAGCUGUGUAGUGAAGACAAAUUUAGUCGCUAAAAUAUUUUCAGCGACAAAAUUUUGUUUCGUCGCAUGGUAUCUUUAGCCCCGAGCUUUCAACGAUGACCUUAGAGACCAAAAAUAUUCGUCGCUACUUAUAUUUGGCGAUUAAAUUUGGUGUUAUAGUGACCAUCUUGUUUCGUCACUAAAAGGGAUUAUCCUUGUAGUGCUUCUUUCUUUCUAGAAGCUGAUAAAUAGACUCUGUGCCUUCUAAAAUCAAAUUAUCAUGGGAUAUUUCAUUAGUGUUAUGAAUUUUAGGAAAAGAUGUUACUUGAAUGACUUUCUCAGCAGGUGAUUGGUGGGGGCAAAAACUCAUAAAACGGUUCAAUUUCCUCCUCCUGAGUUUGACAGCGUGGAGAUAACUAAUUAUUUUCCUCUGGCGACCAGUCGCUGUCUAUUGGCAAUCGGUCGCUGUCUAUUGGCGACCGGUCAUUUUGAAGCAUGUUUUCCGUGUUUGAAGAACUAAGGGGGGGACCGGUCGCUUUCCACUGGCGACUAGUCGUUUUGAAGCUGAGUGACAUCCUGUGGAAAAAAAUCAAAAAUUUGAGGAGGGGUGGAUUCUCGAUUCUCCUCUUGUGCCGCUGAAAAAUAUAAGACAUGUUCCCGAAACACAACAUCCAUAGAGGUAUAGACCUUCUAACUAGGAGGAUGAUAACACCUGUAUCUUUUCUUAUGAGUGCAUAGCCAAUGAAACCACACUUUUCAGCUCGGUGAUCCAAUUUGCUUCGUUGGUGAUCAUGUAAGUGGACAAAUACAACAUAGCCGAAAUUCGGGGUUCCAGGUUUGGGGUGGGAGGUAUUUGGAUAUGGUAGUGUUUGAAGUGGCGUUUGAAAAUUUAGGAUACUAAAGGGAAUUCGAUUGAUAAGGUAUGCUACAGAGACGAUGGCUUCGCCCCAAAAAGAUCGUGGCAUAUUGGCACCGAAGAAAGAGGCACGAACUACUUCUAAUAAUUGUAUGUUCUUUCUUUCAACCACUUCAUUCUGUUGAGGAGUGUAAGGGCAUGAGCGUUGAUGUAUGAUGCCAUGAUCUUGUAAGAACUGGUUAAGAGCAUGGUUGAGAAAUUCUCCGCCAUUUUCAUAAAGAACAUGAAUUAUGGCAUGAAACUGAGUCUCCACCAUUUGAUGGAACCGUUGAAACUUAGAACUGACUUCCCUUUUAGUUUUGAGAAUGGAAACCUAAGUCAUGCUUGUGCAAUCAUCUACAAACGUAACAAACCAUCGAGCUCCUGCCGAGGUGGCAAUUUUAGCAGGUCCAUAAACAUCAGAAUGAACAAGAGAAAAUGGAAUUAAACUCUUGUUUGAACUUAAUAGGAACGGGAACACGAUGGCUCUUAGCCAAUUCACAAGUAUCACACUGGAAGCUAGAAACAUCAAGACUGUAAAAUAAUGAUGGAAACAACUUCUUAUGAUAACCGAACAAGACAUGCACAAGAUGUUUAUGCCAUAACCAAACUUUACCUACCUCCCCUUCAGAACAAGUUCCACGUGUUGUGAAAGCUUGACCAACCUUGGUCUUAACAUACGGUGCCAGUCUAAGUUGUAGAGUUUGCCCCGCCGAGUACCACAACUAAUCGUCUUUCCCAUGAGGACGUCCUGAAAAACACAAUGAUUCGCCAACAUGUUACAAUACACCACAAAGUAGUAGGAAGUUGUGCAACAGACAACAAGUUAUGGUCCAAAGAUGGAACAAUCAAUACAGAAUUCAGAUAUAGGGAAGUAGAGAGAGAUAGAGAGCCCUCCUCAACCACAGGGGAGGGGGUACCAUUAGCAUCAUCCACCAAGUUGGCCAGGAUCAAAUGUCAUGUGAUUCGUACCCGAGUUUGCGGAUUUUUUAGAGGACGUAUGAAAACUAGAACCUUUGGUGGUGCGAUAGAAGCACGAGUCCUAGUAGCCGAGUCAGUAGGAGUGACCGCAUGCUUCUGUGAGUCUGCAAUAAGGGAGAAAAUAGUAGGGCGUCCUAACAUCACAGUGGAAGUAAUAUGUGAUAUGAGUAUGUGAGGAAUUUGAUUGGAGGAAUUUGAUGUGUGAUUUUGAUGUAGAAAUUGGAUUUGAGAGGUAUGUGUUUAGGGAUUUUGAUAAGAGGAUUUGAGGACUUUGGAUUUGAGGGAUUUGGAUUUCGAGAAUUUAAAUAUGAGGAAUUUGAUUUAGGGUUUUGGAUUUAAAUAUGAGAAAUUUGAUGUAAGGGUUUAGAGACAACUUAUGAUCGAUUGCUCUGAUACCAUGCUAAAAUAUAAAUAUGGUUUGAAUACUUUACGUUAAGUUUUAUUCUUCUCCGUAAAGAGGUAUAUAUAAGAGUUUACAUGAGUGCUUUACAAGAAAUAGAUACAAUAAUCAAGUAGAAUACUAUCUCGUAAUUAUACAAUCAUUUGUCAAUUAUAUAAAAUAAAAAAGUAAAUCCCUUAUUUAAUCAAGGAAAUAAAUCUCCUUGAUUAAUUAACAGAUUCGUGUCAACAAAGACUGUGGUGCUACCCUUCUAGUAGAAAUUUUUUAUAUAUUUCUAUAAAAUUUGGUCUCGUUUCAAACAAAAAAAAUAAAAGGGUAGAUUUCUUUCCAAAGGUAAGAACUUUUUUUAAUUUUUUUUAAUCCAAGAUGUAAAAAAAAAAAACUCCGUUCAUGAAAUUUGAAUCAGGAAGUCUUUAACAAGUAAAAAUUAUACAAGCGAUUGUCUAAAUUAAUCUACUCUACGAAAAAGAAACAUCAACAAGGAAAGUGACAAUGACACAUUAGCAUAAUACCACGGAAUGAGCAUACAAUGAGUUAUAAGUACUAAACUUUCUUAGCGCUGAAUUUUUUUUAAUUUUUCUCAAUAGAGAGGUGGAGUUAGGAUUUUAUGUGUGGAGGGGAGGGGUCAAUAUAUUAGGAUUUAAAGUUGAUUUCUUUCCCAGUGUUAAGCUUGUAAAUAAAUAAAUAACAGAUUAUCUUUAAUUUCCUAUUUUCUUAAAUAUACUUGUGAAAGAAAGAUUUGAUUUGCUGUUUCUUUUAAUUUUUAUUAAUUAUGUUGGUAGAAUCUAGGAGUAAGUUUGCCAUAUUGCUAAGAAAAGAGUCUUUUAGUUGGAGGGGGAAAUGUAAAUCCCUCUUUCUCUUUAUUGUGGGGGGCCACAAGCAUUAAUUUAAUAUAUAUAUUAUCCUAAGUUGUAUAAUACAAAGACAAUAUAUAUACUAUUUUAGAAUUUUGGGAGGGCAAGGCCCUUGCAGGCCUAAGCACACCUCCACCCCUGGAGAACAAUACAUUCUUUGAGAGUAAAAACGAACAUAAGAGCUAGAAAGGGUCAUCACAUCAAUAGUACAUUUGUUCACCACAUGAUGUUUUACAAAAGAGAGACCCCCACCUUCACGUGAACUCCACCCAAACAUUAUUUAGUCCAAAAUACUACUUUAAUAUCAACCAACAACAUCCAAUCUGUUCCAAGUUCCAGUCCACCAUCUCAACUUCAUCAGCUUGAUCAAAUGCCUUCCAAUUCUAGUAGGGACGCUCGUCCUCAUAAUUACCAGGAGGGUCGUAGCUGCAAAUGACAAAAACCCAAUUGUUGUCACACUUAGCCCUAGCACAACCAAGAUGAACCGAGUUCCUCCAAACCACCCGAGUAUAAUGCCCACAUUCAUCCCCAACACAUUUGUUGGAGCCGUAGUUAGCAGCUGGAUUUUUUUCCAUGUCACCCAAAAUGUGUUGUCCACGUGUUAGGCUUGAAAAUUCGUCACACGAGUGGGGGUAGAGGUGGGCACUGUUCGGUUUGGACCGAUUUUUGCCUCAAAUUAGAACUGAUCCGGUACUAUUUAUCCGGUUUGGUUCAGUUCUGUUUUAAUUAAAAAAAUUCAAAAACUAUCUGGUUCGGUUUGAACCGGUUUCGGUCCGAUUUCGAUUUCGGUUCAGUUUGAACCGGAUUAACAAAAUUAUUUUUUUAAAUUGUUUUUUAAUGCAAUUCUCAACUGAAAUAUUUUUUUUUUUACUUGAAAAUUAACAAAUUAUUCAAUUUCAUAUAAAAAAUAAAUAUUAAAGUUAGAAAAGAUAGAUAUUUUGAUAUUAAACUUGGAUAAAUAUUAGGUUUUUCUUAGUGAAAUUAAAAAUAUAGCAUUAAAUAUAAAUAUAUAUUGAAAUUAUAUAUUUUUUUAAUUUGACCGGUUCGGUUCGAUUUUUGAAGACAUGGAACCGGAUCCAAAACCGGUCCAAAUCGGUUCAGUUCGAUUUUUGACCAGUUGUUGACUUUUUGGUCAACUCGAUUUUUUCGGGUUUGGUUCAGUGCGGUUCGGCUCGGAUUUUUGGUUCGCCGAUUUAAGUGCCCACCCCUAAGUGGGGGCGUGCGAGAAUGUAAAAGUAAAAAGUCCCACAUUAGAAAAUUAGAAAACCUUGCAAGGGUUUAUAAGGAUUUAGAUUAAUUCCCCCGUUGCAAAUUGGUUUUAUGGUGAAAUCUCAACUUCCUUCAAAUAGGACAAGGAAGUGGAAAUAGUAGCACUCAAAAAAAAAAAAUGUACGGUUAUUUAGCCUUAAUAAUGGAUAAUUAGUCCUUUAUUAAUUUUUUGGAUAAACCAAUUAGAAUUUUGUCUAGUUGUAUUUUCAAAAAAAGAGAGAUUGACUAACAAAAAAAAAACACAUUAAGAGAAUGAGAUAAUAUUUCGGUUAGAUUUUACGAAAAUGAAAUUAUAUUAUUCUUUUCUUUUUUUUGUAUUUAUUAUUCAUUCUCUUGUAACCUUUCACAAUAUCAUGUCAAGUGCUAGCUAGUCACAUAAAGGAAUGUUGUGAGUGUGGGAAAGUAUUUGUAUACACCCAUUACAUUUUAUUUUUCUAAUUUCACAAAAGAAAAAAAACACAAGACUUCUCAACAAGCCUCAUGUAGGUGUGCGUGUGCGCACGCAAGCAUACAUACAUUGUCUAGUAGGGGCGCUCGUCCUCGGGCUGGUACAUGGGAUCGUAGCUGCAAACCACAUAGUUCUGUCCAUUGUUGCACUUUGAAAUGCCACAUCCAACCUCGGUGGUUUUGCCCCAUACCACAGCAAGGUAGUGACCACAUUCGUCUUUGACGCAUUUGUUGGACUUUUCGUCAUAGAACUCCUUCUCGGUGACCCAAUACUUGGUGGCAGCUGCGCCGCUCAUGCCGUCACCAGAGGCCAAGUUCUCACCCCAACGCCCCAUCGAGUGCUCCAUGGCGCAGUCGCCAACUCUUUUAUCCGCAUAUUCUUGGGCAUACUGGGCCAAGGUCGUGUUCCAAUUGAGGGGUUUGUUGCCGACCUCUUUACGAGCCUUGUUGUGCUCCUCGACGAAGCCAUCGAUCUCUUCUUUAGAAAUGUUUGCAAAGACAAGAGUGAAGACCAAUGCGACGCAGCAAAUGGCCAAAAGAAGCUUCGUG